UUCCAGACUCCUACGGGAGGCAGCAGUGGGGAAUAUUGGGCAAUGGGCGCAAGCCUGACCCAGCAACGCCGCGUGAAGGAAGAAGGCUUUCGGGUUGUAAACUUCUUUUAAGAGGGAAGAGCAGAAGACGGUACCUCUUGAAUAAGCCACGGCUAACUACGUGCCAGCAGCCGCGGUAAUACGUAGGUGGCAAGCGUUGUCCGGAUUUACUGGGUGUAAGGGGCGUGUAGCCGGGCUGACAAGUCAGAUGUGAAAUCCCGUGGCUCAACCACGGAACUGCAUUUGAAACUGUCGGUCUUGAGUAUCGGAGAGGCAGGCGGAAUUCCUAGUGUAGCGGUGAAAUGCGUAGAUAUUAGGAGGAACACCAGUGGCGAAGGCGGCCUGCUGGACGACAACUGACGGUGAGGCGCGAAAGCGUGGGGAGCAAACAGGAUUAGAUACCCCUGUACC
RNAcentral lists this ribosomal RNA (450 nucleotides) under uncultured bacterium. Its description in RNAcentral is "bacterial SSU rRNA". It matches the Rfam family "Bacterial small subunit ribosomal RNA", at positions 329 to 794 of the family's 1533-position model. The record is from RNAcentral.